UCUCUGGUGGCUCAGUGGUAAAGAAUCUGCCUGCCAAUGCAGGAGACACAGGUUCCAUCCCUGAUCAGGGAA
RNAcentral lists this transfer RNA (72 nucleotides) under Bos taurus (domestic cattle). It matches the Rfam family "tRNA". Rfam says of the family: Transfer RNA (tRNA) molecules are approximately 80 nucleotides in length. Their secondary structure includes four short double-helical elements and three loops (D, anti-codon, and T loops). RNAcentral also lists the same sequence under 5 other names. Lineage: Eukaryota; Metazoa; Chordata; Mammalia; Artiodactyla; Bovidae. The record is from Rfam by way of RNAcentral.